GGAUCCAGACUUUGAUCCUGGCUCAGGACGAACGCUGGCGGCGCGCCUAACACAUGCAAGUCGAACGAGCGAGAGAGAGCUUGCUUUCUCGAGCGAGUGGCGAACGGGUGAGUAACGCGUGAGGAACCUGCCUCAAAGAGGGGGACAACAGUUGGAAACGACUGCUAAUACCGCAUAAGCCCACGACCCGGCAUCGGGUAGAGGGAAAAGGAGCAAUCCGCUUUGAGAUGGCCUCGCGUCCGAUUAGCUAGUUGGUGAGGUAAUGGCCCACCAAGGCGACGAUCGGUAGCCGGACUGAGAGGUUGAACGGCCACAUUGGGACUGAGACACGGCCCAGACUCCUACGGGAGGCAGCAGUGGGGAAUAUUGCACAAUGGGGGAAACCCUGAUGCAGCGACGCCGCGUGGAGGAAGAAGGUCUUCGGAUUGUAAACUCCUGUUGUUGAGGAAGAUAAUGACGGUACUCAACAAGGAAGUGACGGCUAACUACGUGCCAGCAGCCGCGGUAAAACGUAGGUCACAAGCGUUGUCCGGAAUUACUGGGUGUAAAGGGAGCGCAGGCGGGAAGACAAGUUGGAAGUGAAAUCCAUGGGCUCAACCCAUGAACUGCUUUCAAAACUGUUUUUCUUGAGUAGUGCAGAGGUAGGCGGAAUUCCCGGUGUAGCGGUGGAAUGCGUAGAUAUCGGGAGGAACACCAGUGGCGAAGGCGGCCUACUGGGCACCAACUGACGCUGAGGCUCGAAAGUGUGGGUAGCAAACAGGAUUAGAUACCCUGGUAGUCCACACUGUAAACGAUGAUUACUAGGUGUUGGAGGAUUGACCCCUUCAGUGCCGCAGUUAACACAAUAAGUAAUCCACCUGGGGAGUACGACCGCAAGGUUGCAACUCAAAGGAAUUGACGG
Molecule: ribosomal RNA, 901 nt
Filed under: uncultured Bacillota bacterium
Lineage: Bacteria; Bacillati; Bacillota
Description: bacterial SSU rRNA
Rfam family: Bacterial small subunit ribosomal RNA
Source: RNAcentral